This 499-nucleotide ribosomal RNA is filed under the name uncultured bacterium. Its description in RNAcentral is "partial 16S ribosomal RNA". It matches the Rfam family "Bacterial small subunit ribosomal RNA", at positions 28 to 507 of the family's 1533-position model. The record is from RNAcentral.
GACGAACGCUGGCGGCGUGCUUAACACAUGCAAGUCGAACGGGCCCGCCCCUGUUUUUGGGGGUGGGUUGAGUGGCGAACGGGUGAGUAUCCCGUGAGUAACCUGCCCCCUGCUCCUGGAUAACUGCUUGAAAGGGCGGCUAAUACGGGGUGUGCCGGCUGGUCCGCAUGGGCCUGGUCGGGAUAGUUUCAUCUUCGGGUGUUUCGGUGGGGGAUGGGCUCGCGGCCUAUCAGCUUGUUGGUGGGGUGAUGGCCCACCAAGGCGGUGACGGGUAGCCGGCCUGAGAGGGUGGGCGGCCACACUGGGACUGAGACACGGCCCAGACUCCUGCGGGAGGCAGCAGUGGGGGGUAUUGCGCAAUGGGCGGAAGCCUGAUGCAGCGACGUCGCGUGAGGGAUGGAGGCCUUCGGGUUGUGAACCUCUUUCUCCGGUGGUGAAGGCCCUGUCCGUUGCGGCGGGGUUGACGGUAGCCGGGUAUGAAGCGCCGGCUAACUACGUG